RNAcentral lists this ribosomal RNA (301 nucleotides) under uncultured bacterium. RNAcentral describes it as "partial 16S ribosomal RNA". It matches the Rfam family "Bacterial small subunit ribosomal RNA", at positions 509 to 808 of the family's 1533-position model. The record is from RNAcentral.
CAGCAGCCGCGGUAAAACGUAGGUCCCGAGCGUUGUCCGGAUUUAUUGGGCGUAAAGCGAGCGCAGGCGGUUAGAUAAGUCUGAAGUUAAAGGCUGUGGCUUAACCAUAGUACGCUUUGGAAACUGUUUAACUUGAGUGCAAGAGGGGAGAGUGGAAUUCCAUGUGUAGCGGUGAAAUGCGUAGAUAUAUGGAGGAACACCGGUGGCGAAAGCGGCUCUCUGGCUUGUAACAGACGCUGAGGCUCGAAAGCGUGGGGAGCAAACAGGAUUAGAUACCCGCGUAGUCCCUGUCUCUUAUACA